GGAUGCGAUCAUACCAGCACUAAAGCACCGGAUCCCAUCAGAACUCCGAAGUUAAGCGUGCUUGGCCGAGAGUAGUACUAGGAUGGGUGACCUCCUGGGAAGUCCUCGUGUUGCAUUCC
Molecule: ribosomal RNA, 119 nt
Filed under: Triticum aestivum (bread wheat)
Lineage: Eukaryota; Viridiplantae; Streptophyta; Magnoliopsida; Poales; Poaceae
Also listed under: 2 other names
Source: RNAcentral